UGAGUAGGCGGUUACAUAUGUCAGAUGUAAAAGGCACAGGCUUAACUUGUGUUAGCAUUUGAAACUGUGUGGCUUGAGUGCAGGAGAGGUAAGUGGAAUUCCUAGUGUAGCGGUGAAAUGCGUAGAUAUUAGGAGGAACACCAGUGGCGAAGGCGACUUACUGGACUGUAACUGACGCUGAGUCACGAAAGCGUGGGUAGCAAACAG
RNAcentral lists this ribosomal RNA (207 nucleotides) under uncultured Eubacteriales bacterium. Its description in RNAcentral is "uncultured Clostridiales bacterium partial 16S ribosomal RNA". It matches the Rfam family "Bacterial small subunit ribosomal RNA", at positions 568 to 775 of the family's 1533-position model. The record is from RNAcentral. Lineage: Bacteria; Bacillati; Bacillota; Clostridia; Eubacteriales.